GGGGAAAAUGGGAACCAAGCAAGGAAUGUGUGAGAUCUCGGGACAACUGUAAAUCUGCUCACGUAAGUGUACGCUGGUUCGAAUCCAGCCCUGACCACCA
Molecule: transfer RNA, 100 nt
Filed under: bacterium
Lineage: Bacteria
Description: tRNA-Tyr
Source: RNAcentral